UGUCGAUCGUGGGGUCUCGUCUGCUCGAGCCUCCUCACGACCUGUUCCAAAUAUAAUAUUAAUUUCCCAACCAAUAAUCCAAUAUUUAAUCAAAAUAGGCAAAAUUACCCGAGAGUCAUAAUUACGCUCAUCAUUGCCUAACUUCGAUAUUCUUACAUCGGACGAUCCGAACUUAAAUAUCAUACUCCACAGUCGUAAAUAUAACCUCCUCAAAAUACGACUUAAAUCCUACGGCCGGAUUCUACAUUAAUUAACCGCCAAAAAUACCAAACUUCGGAAAAUCACAAACCUAUCCAAAUCUCAUCCAAAAAUUCCAUAAAUCACACCAAUAUACUCCUCUUAAUAUUCCACAUUUAAAACCCUAAAAAUCUCCUAACCGGCGGAGGCGCCGCCGGCGGCUCCGCCGGCAGCCGUUUUCCGGCGACCUGCAAAUGCUACCAAAUUUUAACAGAAUCUUCCUCUCAAUCUCCUCUACAACUUUCAUGACUAACACAUCACCCAAUUCCAAGCCUAACUAGGCUAAUCGAACGAAAACAACUUAAACACCAUAAAACUUCCACCUCAAAUUUCUCCUUACCUAGCUCAAGAGGGAGGGAGCUGUUUGGAGGGGUUGUUGCAAGGGAGGAGGGCUACAAAACCGUACCAAGCUUGCCCGGAUUGGUGGCCGGAGGAGGAAGUUCCGGCGAAGUGAAGGUUUGGACAGUCGGACCUUACGGGUGGCACCGCUCCUUCACGGCGGCGCUAGGGCUCCUCUCACCGGUCUAGAAAUGUUGCUGGGAGGGAGACCGACCGAACGGGACCGGUCCGGCGGCGAACGGAGGUCGGACGGCGGCGGGAGGGCGGCCGGAACUCUUCUGGGUGUAGAGAGGAGAAAACCGGGUGGGAGGAAAGAAAAUCGGGAGAGAGGGAGAAGAGAAAAGAAGAAGAAAUGGGUUGGGCUCGGCCCAGCCGACCCAACACUCCUUUUAACUUAAAAUUCCA
Molecule: long non-coding RNA, 981 nt
Filed under: Fragaria vesca (wild strawberry)
Lineage: Eukaryota; Viridiplantae; Streptophyta; Magnoliopsida; Rosales; Rosaceae
Description: long non-coding RNA (FVES_LNC005305)
Source: RNAcentral